This 11293-nucleotide long non-coding RNA is filed under the name Musa acuminata (dwarf banana). RNAcentral describes it as "long non-coding RNA (MACU_LNC000733)". Lineage: Eukaryota; Viridiplantae; Streptophyta; Magnoliopsida; Zingiberales; Musaceae. The record is from RNAcentral.
UGUUCUUCUAAUCCUUAAUCCCACAGAGUAGAAUCAGUAUUCAAAGACGUAUUUUUAGCUCAGCAUCAAUCAACUGGUUGCAGCAAACUAGAGAUUCAUACUUCCCACCUGAAAGCAUUUAGACCACUGCGGGAGUUGUGCAUCCAAAAUGAGUACUUCUUUUGAUACUCUUGUUUGGUCUCUGAAAAAGAUGAAAGGCACACAUACUUUGACGCUAGGCUUCCUUGCACAGGCACCACCUGCCGAUGCUUCCCCUUAAAAUACAGAACAUAAGUGCAGAACAUUAGACAUCCGAUGUGAUAUGCAUCUGCUGUCAUCAUGCUAUAUCAUCUAGUCCAGUGAGGACAGAAUCCUGAUGAUUCACUUGAGCUUCACAGCAAUCUUAUCUUUUUGGAGGAAUUUUCAAGCAUCAAUGUUAUUGCUUCCAGUCUAGCAAGGAGGAAAUAUGUUAGUAAGCGUAUAGACUAUUCUAUAAAAUGAUUUGCCCUGAGGCCAUUUAAAGCUCCUGCAUCUAAAGAUCUAAAUCCAUAAAAAUUAAAGGUCUCAGGUAGAUGUAAGACAACAUGAACAUAUCAAAGGUGACAGCCAAAGCAGAGUCUACAGUUCUAGUUGACCAAAAAACACAAUAUAUGCUUUCCAUGAAGAACAGCAAUUGCAGUCCACAGGCAACCACUUGGGCACUUGGGCUCCUGCCUUGCUGACAAACAUGCUGUAGAACAUUCAAGCUACCACUUCCAUGACCACCACAUGUACAGAUGCAAAGUUGGGAGGGGAGCCCAUACAUGCAUGUCUUAGACAUUGAAUGUGUAUGCAUGCAAUUAUGUUUUCUUGUAAAUGCUUUAUGAUAAGAUGAUACUGUUUGGUACAUGCAGAAAAUAUAUAAACUGAGAAGUAUCAGCAUCAAGUAGUUAUAACAAAAUACAAGGUAAUUAAGAAAGCUUGACAAGAAGCUGUUCUCUACAGAAGAUUAGAAUCACAGCAAAACACUUGUAGUAAAUCGUAACAGUUACUAAUGUUUAAAUAGACUACAGCCCCCAAGUGUCCAAAGUGUUGGCUCUUAUUAAAUGUAUACGCAUAUGCGUAACAAAGCCUAAUGAGACAACCGAAAUGAGUGAAGUAGGAUAUAGUCACAAUUUCCCUACUUUAAAAAGAUUGAAGGCAACAAACGAUUCUGUUCCACUCAACAUACUAAUAUAUUUAUGAUGCGAUGAGCAUUUAAUAUUUUCAAGUUUCAAGAUAAUAAAUUUUAAAUUUAAUUCUAUCAUUUAAAAAAAUGAUUUGUAUCUUAAAGAUAAUUAUUAUGAAAAUUAAAAACCAUUAAGGUACAAUAUAAAAUGAAUUUAAUAUGUAUUAUGAUUUAUAUUUAAUUUUUAGUAAAUCAUGACUCACUAAUUGGGUAGUUGAGGGAUUCAACGUACAAGUAUCUAUAAAAAGGGAAGGAAGGAAGAUUGAUGUGAUAUUCUAGUUUUUGAAACAUUCUUAAACUUUUGUAUUUAAAGCUAUUAGCUCUUAGUAUGUCUUGGAAUAGAGAGUUCUAUACGUCCUAUAUCUCACUUAUUUUCUCAUCCUCUUUUUUUCUCAUCCUAUUUGUUAACAUCAUUUGAUAUUAGAGCCUUGCUAUGCUCUUGGAGUACAUCAUUCUUAUGGCAAUUACAUUACAGCGAAAGAAAAAUGUAACUAUAAAGAGAUGAAAAAGAAUGCAAAAAUUGAAACAUUAAGAAGACAAGUUGAAGAGAUGCUCCUCGAACGUCAAGAAACUCAUGGCUCUAGAAGCUCAUGGUUAUGGAAGUGAUGAAUUCAAAGACAUAAAUCCCCUUGCAUCCAAAGAAGUUAUAGGAUACUCAUCCAUGGAGAGUUUGACCUCAACCUAAAGAGUUUCUUGAUUGGCUUAAUGUUAUUGAGAAAUUCUUUGAGUACGAGGAGAUACUCGAAGAUCAAAAAAUAAAAUUAAUUACUACAAGACUUCGACGUUAUGUUUCAAUCUAGUGGGACAAGAUGCAAAAAAUAUUCCUUCAAAAAGAGAAGAUGAAGAUUUUAUCAUGGGAAAAGAUGAUAUCUGCGAGAAUUUUCUUAUAUUUGAUUAUGUUCAAACUCUCUUUUCGUAAUUUAACAAUUUUCAGCAAGGUAGCAAAAUCAUCAUCGACUACAUUGAAGAAUUCUACAAGUUGAUAGCCCAAAAUAACACUCAAGAGACAUAAGAACGCCUUGUUGCAAGAUAUGUCGACGACCUACGAGUUAUGAUUUGAAAUGAAGUGGAGAUAAGGUUAUUUGAUGCGUAUCAAUUUGUGUUAAAAGUUGAAGCAAAACUUGCUAAAAGUGGACCAAAGAGUUAUUCUAUUGUUCUUUUACAUUCCUCAUCUAAAGUUGGCUCAGCUCAUUCUAAUGCUAGUGGAACAAAAGCUAGUGAAAUCAUGAAAAAAAUACAUCUAAACUAACUCCUACCAACCAUGUAGGGCAAUCUAGUUGCACUAGUCAUCUUCCUACUUGCUUUAAAUGCAAACAAAUAGGACACUAUGAAUUGAGUGCCCAAAUAGAUAAGUUGAUACAUGAGUUUAUUUUGUCGAAGAAGAAGAUGACAAUGAAUAACUUGAAGAUCUUGAAAAACUAACAUAUGAUGAAUACCCUGAGGAGGCUUCUAAAGAAAUUGCACUCGAAGAAAGUGCAUGCUUGGUAAUCCAUAGAGUGUUUGCUACUCCAAGAGAUGAUUACAAUGAAAAAUAGUUGUGAAAUAAUAUUUUCAAGACACGCUGCAAGUCUCAAGACAAAGUUUGUUCUCUUGUUAUUAAUAGUGGCAAUUGCGAGAACAUUGUGUCAAGAUAUAGUAGACAAGCUCAAGCUUAAGGCAGAACCACAUCUUAAACUAUAUCAAAUUGCAUUAUUCAAGAAAUGCAAUGAGGUGCGAGUUAUUAAUCAAUGCUUAGUUACUUUUUCGAUUGACAAAAAUUAUAAAGAUGAUAUAUGAUGUGAUGUAGUACCAAUGGAUGUUAGUCAUAUAUUUUUUGGAAGACCAUGACAAGAUGAUAGGUGAACUAUGUAUGACGGUAGAAAGAACACCUAUAGGUCAUAUAAAGAAGAGUUUGCUCCCAAACCUUUGACCCAAAGGCAAGGAAAUACCUUUCUAACUUUAAAUAAGUUUAAGAGAAAGUGAAGAAAGUGGAGUUGUAUUUAUGUUAGUUGUUAAAGAAUGCAUGCAGCCUAUAGAAAUUCCUAGUGAAGUAGAAGAUAGUUUGGAGGAAUUCAAAGACACCUGCUCUGAAGAACUUCUAAGUGCCAUGCCUCCUCUUCAAGACAUUCAACAUUGAAUCGAUCUAAUUCCAAGAGCAAUCUUGUCAAACAAAUCUCACUAUCGGAAGAGUCCAAAAGAACAUUAAGAGUUAAAUAGACAAGUUAUGGAUUUAUUGUACAAGAGUUAUAUUUGAGAAAGCUUAAGUCUGUGCAUCGUUUCAGCUUUAUUAACUCAAAAAAAUGAUGGAACUUUACGGAUGUGCAUCGACAAUUGAGUAAUCAACCAAAUUAUGAUAAAGUAUAGAUUUCCUAUUCCACGUGUCGAGGAUAUGUUUGAUAUGCUUAUUGGUGCUCAAAAUUUUUUUAAAAUUAACCUUUGAAGUGGUUAUCACCAAAUCCGUAUUAAACAAUGAGAUGAAUGAAAAACUACUUUCCAGACUUCAAAAGGUUUAUAUGAAUGACUAGUUAUGCCAUUUGGACUUUAAAAUGCUUUAAAUAUCUUCAUGCGAGUAAUGAAUCAAAUUCUACGUCAUUAUAUUGGGAAGUUUGUUAUUAUUUACUUUGAUAAUAUUUUUAUUUAUAGUCGCAACAAACUUGAUCAUAUUGAACAUUUGAGAACUAUCAUAUCAAUCUUGAAGAGAACAACUAUAUGUAAAUCUUAAGAAGUGCUCUUUCAUGACCUUUAGCCUAGUUUUUUUAGGCUUCAUCUUAACCCUCUACAAGUAUCCAAGUAAUUCUGAGAAGAUUAAAGCUAUUCAGACUUGUCCAACACUAACAUCCUUAUAAGAUGUUCAGAGUUUUUAUGGAUUGGCAUCUUUUUAUUAUUGAUUUAUUCAAAAUUUUAGUACUAUUACAACUCCUCUAAUUGGGGUCUUGUGUGAGUGAAAAGUGGGCGAACGGAAAAAGAACGACACAAAAACAAAACAGAGAGAGAGAGAGAGAGAGAGAAGAGAAAAAGUUAAGGCUUUGAGGCUUUUGCUAAACGAUCAAAUAGCUAAACUUCAUCAGCUUUGGUCCAAAUUUUUUGUGGAGAAUUCAUGCAACAAGCUCUACAAUCCUAAUGGUGCCAAUCUACGAUUUGUGCUCUCUGAGGUAAUUUUCUAAUAUACCCACUUGGUGAGACCUAAACCUUUCCUUUGAUGAAAUUCAUCUAUGGUAAUGAUGAUAUGCUAUUGUUGAGCCAAGAUUUAUGUUCUUGAUGUUAUGGUGACCCUUUAGUUAUUCCUGAGAAGACUUAUUAUAAACCUAUUAACAUUAUUGGUGAUAGUGGAGGUUUAAAAUGGACUAUGGUCCGAUGGUUUUUCUCGUAUUGAGUUUUCCACGUAAAAAUUUAAUGUCUCACUUUGUGAUUGAUUUAUUGUUCUAUUAUUUAUGCUGCUCUGAUUAAUAUUUUUUGUUAGUAAUAAGUUGAUAUUUUGGUGAGGAACCUAUUUUAACACACAAAGAGAAAGAAUUAUUCCAUUGCAAUAAUUUUUCCCAACACUAAUUUGGCUAAUCUUCAUCUAUUAUUAUUAAAUUAUUACUUAGAAAGGAUUCCCAAGGAGAGAUAGGAUUCUCUAUUCUUUUUUAACUAGAUUUGAUUCAUGUUUUGAAAUAUUUAAUAUUAAAAUUAUUAUAAUUUUAUAAUACAUAAUAAUACUUUAAUUACAAAAGUUUAUGAUUAAUAAAAAAUAAUAAUUUAUUUAUGAUGUUAAAAUGCUUAUUUGACUUAUAAUGGUCUCUUAUGCUUAAAUGAAUUUUAGAUUGAUUUAAUUGUAAAAUUUUUAUUUUAGAUUAAAAUAAUAUUUUGAAUUCAUUUUAUAUAUGUAUGUUUUAAGAAUUAUAAGUGAAAUUUUAUUAUUAUUAUUUUUUAAUUUGAGACCAUGAAUUUAAAUUAUUUAAUUCAUGGAUUUAAGUUACUUUUUAAUAAUUUAAAAUAUUUUUAAAAAUAUUAAAACUUAAUUUGAUAAGAGAGAUUUAAUUGGGGUCUGACCUGAGUCAAGUUGAUCUGCCAAACUAGGUUGACCCGGCAUUUUUAGCCAAGUACAGCCUGGACCAUAUGGUCGAGCAUAAUCGAACCCAUGUGGCCAGACAUGACUCAGCCUAUAUUGUCAAGUAUAAUCCAAUCCAUAUGGUUUGGUACAACCAAACCCAUGUGGCAUAUACAACCAAACUCCCACGAUGAAGCAUGACACAACCAAUGUGGCUAAGUAUAGUAUAGCUCAUGUGGUCAAGCACGACCCAACUCAUAUGGCUAGGCACGACCUAACUCAUAUGGCCAGGAAUGACUCAAUGCAUGUGGCUAGGGAUGACACAACUCGUGAGCCAAACUUGGCCUAGUUUAGCGACAAAGCUCGCCUGGCCUGUGAGGUUAUGCCUGCCUUAACUAUGCGAUUAAGGUUAGGCAUGCUUUCAAUCCUCUAUCUAACCCAUUACACCUCUAUCCAACAUGCAACCUAGGAGAGGCAUAUGCGACACAUAUGACUAGUUGAAUGAUUAAGUAAGUCAAUUUAGUAUGGACUAGCUCCUAGUCCAAUUCCCCUUCCCUUAUUGAUUUAAGGUCACUAGUUGAUUAAACCAAACCGACUUGAUCAAUCAGGUCAAUUCAUGGUGAUUCGAAACCACUUUGACUCAUUCAAGCUCAUUUAACUUAAAUGAAACUAAUUAAAUCCAAAUUAGACCAUACGAUGGUUUCAAGUUUAAUAAAGAUUAGAGGUCAAUUCAAUUAAAUCCUAACUAAAUUUAAUCUUGCUUAAGUUAAUUGGAUUAUUCCAAUUAGGAAUCUAGUUGGUUGAGGACUUUGAUGUCUUUAUGUCUUUAUGAUUUAAUGAAUUUGAAAGUUUAAUAUGAAUAUAUCAACAAAAACUAAUUAAUGAUUUUUAAAUAUUAUUAAGAUUAAAUUAAUGAUAUUAAUAUUAUUAUUAUUAUGUAGUAUAUAUGAUUGUGUUGAAUGGUCCAUAUUGAAAGUGCAUCUAAUGAAAGGAGAUACGAGCCCAUCACAGUGCCAAGCCACCAAUGGACAUUGUUUAGCAGAUCAUAUAUCAAGCAUGAUCUCUUAUGAUAUUUUAUCAUAAUAUUUCUUUGACUAUAUACAUGAAUGAAUAAAUGAAUAUAAAUUAAUGAUCAUGAUUGAUUAUGUAUCCCUGCCAACUACAGAUAAAGUAAUUCAUAUUAGGGAUUAGAUGAUUGUUAGUUAUGAUGACUAAUCUAUUCCUCCAUCUGUUGUUGAGAAUGUCUCCACUUGGGCAAACAAGGGAUAUUACUUCAUCCACUGUUAGAAGAAAUUUAUCUCGUAGAGUAUACCUCUCUAUCAACUAUUGAGAGAGUACAGUAUUAUGUGUGAUAUAUACCUUUGUACCUUAUUGUUAUAUAUGUCAUUUAGAUAUAUAGAUAGUGACUAAUGUAUGAUUUUGUUUAUUAUAAAAGAAUUUUAUUUUAAACAUGUUUUAUAAUGAAUUGAUAUAUUAUCAAUGCAUAUUUAAUAGUUAAUAUUUGAAUAUAUUUCAUGUAUUUGUAAUGAUUGUUGAUUUAUUUUUAUUUUAUAUUUAUUUUUAAAGUAACCUAUUAAUUCAUAGUAAAAUUGAGAUUUGGUGGAAGAGAUUUUUUAACAUUUAUAGCCCUACCAAGAAGAUAUAAUCUCUUUCGGUUAAAAAAUACUUGGUAUUGUAAAGAUAAAAAAUUAAAUUCAAAAUAUAUAAAAAAAAUAUUUUUUUGUAAAUUAUAUAUAAUAAAAUGAUGAUUUAUAUUUUUUUUAUAAAGUCAAGGUGGGACAAUUACAGUUAUUUUGAAGAAUCCACAGAAUAAUGAGCUUAAUUUAUGCAAUGACAAAACUGACAAGAAUCACAUGUUAUCAGAUAAACAUAAAUUCAAUUAAACUUCUCACAAUCAUAUGCUUCAAGGAGAGUGCUAACGAAAAGUUUAAACUCUGAACAACAAAAUCAUUAUAUAUAACAUUGAAGAAAAAAAUUGUGUAUAUAAAAGCUUUCGAGAAAGUGAUUAUCAGAGAAUAUAUAGCCAUGCAAGUCAACAGCUUAGGCGAGCAUCUGAAACUGAACCAGUCUUAACUCAAGUUUGAGCCAAUAUAUACAAACCAGAGUUGCAUUUUCUGCAUUAGCUUGACUCGACAUAAAUUCAAGCUUGGUGAUAGCAAAGUGACAAGGUGUACAUGUAUGUGUUAAACUUAAACCCCUUGGCAUACUUAUGCCUAGCCCUCAAAGAACUAGUUAUAACACCUCAUUAUACACUCACCUAAUUCAAAUAGCCUCAAUCUAAAUGCUGAACAAUCAAGACUCCAUAUAAUGACACUUGCAAGAAGAGAAUCGAUGUAAUAAUUGCUCUAUAAAUAUAUAGUGAUACAUCUAAUAACAAAUUAAAAUAUUAUCGUUCAUAACAAGCUAAUGCUGAGUUCAUUGACAUCUAGUCCAUCGAUCACUCAUCUUCAACCAGCAAAAGAUAGCUGCUUAAACUAAUCAAACUUAGUAUAGAAGUAGGACCGAAUUGGAGUCCUGUUGCAUCAAUACCUGGUUGCAAUAUCAACGAGAUACUGAACAGGGGAGUCACACACUUAUAUUCAUUUCAUGAUUCAUUCUGUAUAGAACUGUGGAUUCAAUCAUGCAAAGUUAAUGUAUACAAACCUCAAGUUUGAUGUUAGACCUUACAGGAAGGGUUCCUCAAAGGUUGCAAAUUCAUCGGAGACUAACUUAGCAUACAUCACUGCUCUAAACAUGAAGAAGUGUAAAAAACAAAAGAACAUAUUAAUUAUUUUUAGAAAAUAGGAGAGUGUGGGUAAAAAUAUUAGAGAUGAACUGACUAAAAGAUAUUGGAUUAGGAGACAUGAUCAGAUCUAAACUUCAUCAAGAGUCCCAAGAAGAAAAUGGGAUCAGGGAUGACAGUUAUCAAAUUAAAAGGAAAAAAAAAUAGAGGAUGUUGUAAAGAUCUAUUUACAAGAAUAAUCUUGUAGAUCAAGAGCCCACAGUGGAUCACAUGAUGUCAUGUCUUACAGCUAAAGAGACUGAUCCAUCUAGAUGAAGAUUAUGGGUCCUCAAGAACAAGAUUUACAAAACUGUGCAAUGAUGUCAGCUUUUGUUCAGAGGAUAGAGAGGUUAGCUUAGCUAUUAAAGACACUUUUACAAGCCUUUUCAAGAGUCUCAGAAAGUAGUUUAAAUGAUCCACAUGUCUAAGAAACCUAACACACUAAUCAGACCAAAGAAGAGGCAAUAAGAUGCAAAUAAAAGAUCAAUCUGUAGUAAUUAGCACUGACUUUGAUAAAAUCUCAUGACCUCACACCUUAGGAAAUAUUUUAAGACAAAUGAACAAGAAUACAGCAUACAAUGUUAAACGACUGUUUAUAUCCUGUUGGGAAAAAAAAAAGAAACUCCUCAUGGUGAUUACAAUUUGGUGCACAGCACUAAAACCCUACAACGAACAAUAGCCAGUAGGCUGAAACACUAUUUACCAAGAUGCUAUUUUCUAAAGCAAAGAUGCAAUUGAAACAAAUGCUUUAGAGAACCAUCAUUUUCAUCCACUAUAGUUAUACAAAUAAGACAUCUACUCUUACCCAGAGUAUCUAGCACACUUAUAUUAUGCUAGAAGCUCCUCAUUGGGAAAUGUUGAUUCACGGUAAAAAGAUCUGAGGUGAAUGGUGGUGCUCUUUAUUUUGCAACUCACCAAAAAGCUUAUCAGGUAUGAGCCAGAGUGUCUCACAUUUGCCAUCAGUGUAAGAGCUUUUUGUUUGUUGUGCCGAUGACUCUUAUAUUUGUCACUUGUGACAUUUCUUUGUAAAAGAAAACAAAAUAAAGUAGUGCUUCUUGCUUUAAAAAUGCAUUUCGGAAGAUGUAGCAUAUCAUAUACACUUAUACAGGUUAUGCAGUUAUAUUCACAGUGUACUGAUCAAUCCUAGAUGAUAUCUACAGUUGACUAUAAUUUUGCUCAUCCAAAAAGAAGCUCGUGCUCUCAAAAAAGGUCAACUUGAAACUGCAUAAAACACACCCAUCCCUCAGACAUUGAACCAUCUACCUAUACCCAUCAUAGAAGAGGGGUAUUUUUAAUAUCUUGAUAUGGGAUAAAAGAGAUUGUAUCUUAACCAUUUUAAUGGGGUAACUACUGAGCUUCAACAACAUAUGAGAAGGAAAAAAGCAUAUAAAUCCAGUGAAGUUGGCUGACCUUGAGAGCAUAAAGAAGUUCUUCAAGGAACCGCCUCCUUCCAGUGAUCCAAUUCACUCCACCUAGAAACAGAAGAACAAACUAAAAGAAAUCAUCGUUCUUGCAAGCCUUCGGUUUUUCACAGUGACAUCCGACAAAAGAAACAAAGGAACGAGGAAGGGAAAAAGAAGUGAUGGCAGCUAAAGAGAUGUCCACGGAUCAAGAUAUUAUGACUACAUGACUUAUACAGUCAAAAGAGAACAGAUCUUACACCACUAGAGAAAAAGCCACGAGACGUCCGACAUGAAACAAUGUACUGAGACUUUAAUACCGCCCCAAAUAUGGAAACCUCAGACUAGGUAAGAUCUGGGAAGGCAAGUGAGAUCUCUCCUUCCUCCGUAUUGGUUCCUGCAACCUCCACACCCAGUACAUCUAAAGGUGGAGUACAGGGAAAGGCAAAGACUCAGCACAAGAAUUGUGAAGGUCACCAAGAGCGAAAAGUCCAACAUAAGAACAAAAAGACAGCUAUAGCAAAAGGGUUGCCGUCAACAGAUGAACAAUCCUUCUUUUUUCCCCUACAGUCUAAAACAAGCCAGAAAGCAAGAUCUUGUGAACAACGACUACAAUGGGAGAUAGGAAACAGAAAGGAGAAACUUGAAUCUGUCGGCAAAAUUCGAUUUUUCCCCUAGGAACUACGAGGGGCGACGCUACCGUUUCUUGCAUCACCGGCCUCCAUCGAGACGGCGAGAGCAAAUCCUUACCUACACAAAGAGGAGAGAAAAUGUUUCCAGAAAGUCGCAGAGAGAGAAGAGAAAGGACCAGUCAAACAGUGGUUUCGUUAGUCCCGCACAGUGCGCAGGAAAUGCAUGUACCCGCCGUGCUCGCCUCCUCUAUCCGACCCAAAUCUGGUCCGAUUCUCGACGAGGGAACAGACGGACGGUCGCCUCCCGCACCUCAAAAGUCGCGCUCUUCCUUUCAAAGCUCAACUGAUACAGCUUGUUCUGCUCCCCAAACUUUCCCCCAACCCUCACAAGAAACCACAGAAAGCAAUAAUUUCUCCAGACGCGGUGCAAGAAAGAUACAGUUCGACUGAGAAACGUCUGUACAAGCAAUUACUUCGCAACCGGCCUUGGAAAUCAUCCGCUGCGUUGUACACUCACGCAACAUCUGACACGCACAAACAGAAAGAGAAGGAAGAAACGAGAGACGAACAGCUGCAGCAAACCUAAUAAUAAUAAUGAAUAAAUGUCAAAAAACACGCUCGAGAUAAAGAUCUCAUCUUUUGUAUCUUUUUCCCUUUCAUCACUAAGAGGCGACGGAGGGUGGAGCUCAUGAUGAUAAUAAAGGUUGACAGGAAGAGACGUGAGCACGCAACGGAAACAGCAUCGUAUCAUACCAUUGUCCUCCGCCCUGUGCUCACUCUCUUCUGUCAACCAUUCGUUUUCUCAUUCUCCUUAAGUCUCAUUUCUUGACCUAAAAUCUCGAUCUUUCUUUCCCUUUUGUUUCCCCUCCACACAAGGAAUUCCACCCCAAAGCCUCCCUUGUCAGAUCUGAAUCCUGUCAAUAGUCACAUCGCAAAAGAAAUAGAAAGAGAGAGGAUCGUCACGACAGCAGCAGAAGCCGCAGGAAGCCGCAGGCAAGAAGAACUCGCUCAUCUUGUCGUUAUAAAGGGUGGGGAAGAAGGGAAGGCGGUGACGGGACUCGAGCUCUCUCCAUCUAAUUAGAUGAUUAGAGGGACGUAACUAAGAUAUUAGCGGAGAGGAUUACGAGGCGAAUGAGGUCAUUAAGCCGUUGUCGAGAGGGCAUUGGUGGAAACCUCUCGUGGUGUCGGGUACUACUUGCGAUUUGACCCAUUGUACUCGUGGCGGCUGCAGGAGGAUGAUGACGUGGGGCCCUUUGGGAAUCCAUCGAUGAGAGACGCUGAUGGGGACGACGUACUGGUACCCGC